AAAAGUAGGCGCAGGCGGUUGCGGAUUAGCGAAAGCUAGUCUGAGGAAAGUCCGGGCUCCCGAAAAACCAAACUUGCUGGGUAACGCCCAGUGCGAGCGAUCGUGAGGAUAGUGCCACAGAAAGAUACCGCCCCCCACAAAAAUCGAUCGUCAAAAAUCGCAAAGUGUUAGGGGGUAAGGGUGCAAAGGUGCGGUAAGAGCGCACCAGCAGCAUCGAGAGGUGCUGGCUAGGUAAACCCCGGUUGGGAGCAAGGUCGGAGGGACUAUGGUUGGUUUUUUACCGGUUCCGUUCUUUGGUACCGCUUGAGGCGUCUGGUAACAGGCGUCCCAGAUAGAUAACUGCCCUCGAAAACUGCUUGCAGUUGAGAGAACAGAACCCGGCUUAUGUCCGACUUUUUCCC
RNAcentral lists this RNase P RNA (401 nucleotides) under Oscillatoriales cyanobacterium. RNAcentral describes it as "RNase P RNA component class A". It matches the Rfam family "Bacterial RNase P class A". From Rfam's summary of the family: Ribonuclease P (RNase P) is a ubiquitous endoribonuclease, found in archaea, bacteria and eukarya as well as chloroplasts and mitochondria. Its best characterised activity is the generation of mature 5'-ends of tRNAs by cleaving the 5'-leader elements of precursor-tRNAs. Cellular RNase Ps are ribonucleoproteins. Lineage: Bacteria; Bacillati; Cyanobacteriota; Cyanophyceae; Oscillatoriales. The record is from RNAcentral.